CGUACACCUGCGGCCGACUUCAGCACAGUCGACGUCACUUUUGUCGUGUCGUGACAACAAACCCGGUUUCUCUGUGGCAGGGGGUGAAUAACAAAUACAAAUUAACAGAGCCAUCUCUGCGAGGGUUGGAAGGCUGCCGCGCGGAAAUACACGAAGCCCCCCGACUCGAGCCGAAUGCAAAUAUCACGCAGGGACGCACUUGGAAUAUUUAAGGGUUACUAAAUCCAGGAACAAUGACGUUAAAUAAAGU
This is a long non-coding RNA of Cydia amplana, 250 nucleotides long. RefSeq lists it as uncharacterized. Lineage: Eukaryota; Metazoa; Arthropoda; Insecta; Lepidoptera; Tortricidae. The record is from RefSeq and is a predicted model, not a curated record. The transcript is spliced from 2 exons.